RNAcentral lists this ribosomal RNA (428 nucleotides) under Xynobius caelatus. RNAcentral describes it as "eukaryotic LSU rRNA". The record is from RNAcentral. Lineage: Eukaryota; Metazoa; Arthropoda; Insecta; Hymenoptera; Braconidae.
CCUGAGAAACCCAAAAGAUCGAAUGGGGAGAUUCAUCGUCAGCUUAUUUUGUAUAUAUAUAAGUUAUGAUAUGGGUUACUACUUGUAGUAUUGCCUGUACAUUCUUGUAUAUUUAAUUGCAAGAUUUUGUCGGCGUGCACUUCUCCCCUAGUAGGACGUCGCGACCCGUUGAGUGUCGGUCUACGGCCCAAGUGGUAGCCUUUAAUUUUUAAUUAAAGACCCUUGGUGUUUCCUGGCUGGCUACUCGGCGGUAUUCGUACGGUAUUAAGCCGCAUUUAUGCGUUCAUAUCUGUCGCAAGCGCGGUCAAUUUUUGGUAGUACGGACCUAGUGCCGUCGCUAUAAUUGAUCAGCUGUUGGUUGUACAGUAUUCUAGAACUGGCUUAAAUAAAUUAUAUAUACCGGUCAGCGAUGCUACUGCUUUGGUACU